AGAAUCAACGCUGGCGGCGUGCCUAACACAUGCAAGUCGCACGAGAAAGGGUAGCAAUACCUGAGUAAAGUGGCGCACGGGUGAGUAACACGUGACUAACCUACCUUUUAGUGGGGGAUAACCUAGGGAAACCUGGGCUAAUACCGCAUAAUACCUACGGGUCAAAGCAGCAAUGCGCUGAAAGAGGGGGUCGCGGUCGAUUAGUUAGUUGGCAGGGUAAUGGCCUACCAAGACUGUGAUCGAUAUCCGGCCUGAGAGGGCGCACGGACACACUGGAACUGAAACACGGUCCAGACUCCUACGGGAGGCAGCAGUGGGGAAUUUGCGCAAUGGGGGAAACCCUGACGCAGCAACGCCGCGUGGAGGAUGAAGUCCCUUGGGACGUAAACUCCUUUCGAUCGGGACGAUAAUGACGGUACCGGAAGAAGAAGCCCGGCUAACUUCGCGCCAGCAGCCGC
RNAcentral lists this ribosomal RNA (458 nucleotides) under uncultured bacterium. RNAcentral describes it as "SSU rRNA". It matches the Rfam family "Bacterial small subunit ribosomal RNA", at positions 26 to 518 of the family's 1533-position model. The record is from RNAcentral.